This 77-nucleotide transfer RNA is filed under the name Pseudomonadota bacterium. RNAcentral describes it as "tRNA-Lys". It matches the Rfam family "tRNA". From Rfam's summary of the family: Transfer RNA (tRNA) molecules are approximately 80 nucleotides in length. The record is from RNAcentral. Lineage: Bacteria; Pseudomonadati; Pseudomonadota. RNAcentral also lists the same sequence under 3 other names.
GGGCCGUUAGCUCAGUCAGGUAGAGCAGGGGCCUUUUAAGCCCUUGGCCGCAGGUUCAAAUCCUGCACGGCUCACCA